CUUGUCAAAUUUUUAAAGUCCAUUCUAUUUUUAAAAAUACUAUUAAUGGAAAUUUUACUAUAAUUAUCUUUAAGUUUAUUUUUAUAUUUCAUUAAUUACUUAUUGUUUAUUAUAUAUUUAUAUAUGAUUUAUUAAUAUCAAUAAUAAUUGAUUGGCCUUGAAAAUAAACAAAAACAAUGCCAGUAUUUAUGUUUCUCGAUCCAUUAACGAAUAUUUUUUGGGAAGACCGAACAAACCAAUUUCACUUUCCAAAGCUAACAAAACCUUAUCAUCUCCCACAGUCUCUUCGUAUUCAAUUUGUGUUUCUCAAUAAUACAUCCAUAAGCGAAUCAUUUGGGGGAAGACAAGCAAAUAAGUUGGCUCACUUCCAGAUUUCAAAUUAGUUUCUCAAUACAAACCCUAGAAUUCUACCCGUGAACACAAACAAUUACACUGUUGGUUAACUUUCAAAAGGGUUUCUCAAUGCAAACCCUUAAAUUUUAAUUUCUCUUCUUCCAAUCCAGAUUCAUUUCAUCAUCAAGUCAUCUCUUCAAUUUUUCAGGUUUUUUGAAUGGUCGCCGAAAGACAAUACUUUGUUAAGAAAAUCACUCCUGCAAAGAAACCCUGGGACAUUGUUGUUCGAGUUAUUAGUUUAUGGUUUAUACCGGAUAUGAAUGCUAAACAAAAAAAAAUUUACGAUGGCUCUAUUGGAAGAUAAGCCUACGUGGAUAACACAGUGCCCUAUACUACUGCUCGACACUCGAAUACCGUACGGAAGUCUAUCAGUUGGCUACGAAGAGCAUCUAGAUCCGGUUGGAACUCAAUCGUUAUAUGAUGAAGGAGAAGCUGAUAUAGUUUUGCAGCAUGUCUUUUCCUUAAUUUAUGUUUUGGUAAUUAAAUUUGACUCUGUUGAUUGUAAUUGAUACAGAUAUUAUUGCAUUCCAUUUGAUAUUGUGGUAGUUUUGCAAUGCAAAUUGUUGUCUUUCAAAGUUUCGAAAUCUUGCGACUUCACUUAUUUGUCAUUUGUGUUUGUUGGCAGUAGAUUCUUCUUAUUUGAAUCUGAAAAAUUCAGGUGUUUGAGGGACAUGCUUAAUGGGCUUCCAGAAGCUGAUGGUACAUAAGUUUUCACAAUUCAUAGCUUUCAAGGUUAGGAAGCUGAUGCUGUAACUUUAUCUAUGGUACGAUCAAACACAUUGGGAGCUGUUUGAUUCCUCAGCGAUAGCAGAAGAAUUAAUGUUGCCAUCACAAGAGCGCGCAAACAUUUAGAUAUAGUAUGUGACAAUUCAACUAUAUGCCACAUUAUGUUUCUAGCAAGGCUGAUGCGCCAUAUCUGACACUUUGGUAGGGUGAAACAUAUUGAAACAUAUAGUUUUGGAGGAGGAUUUGGGCUUGGGAUGAAUUUGAUAUUAUCUUUUAUUGAUUAGUGUUGCAUUUGUAACAGUGGAAUGGAACAAACUUAGAUAUACCUCUAAAUAAUUGUUUGAGGAUAUUUAUAUUUUUUUGGAGUAUUUAUUAGGCUGAUUUAUACUGUCAAUAAUUGUAUAGAUACUUAUAAAUUCAAAAUGACAAUAAUUGUAUAUAUACUCAUAAAUUCAAAAUGUG
Molecule: long non-coding RNA, 1581 nt
Organism: Vicia villosa (hairy vetch)
Lineage: Eukaryota; Viridiplantae; Streptophyta; Magnoliopsida; Fabales; Fabaceae
Exons: 4
Source: RefSeq, a predicted model, not a curated record